Molecule: ribosomal RNA, 484 nt
Filed under: uncultured bacterium
Lineage: Bacteria
Description: partial 16S ribosomal RNA
Rfam family: Bacterial small subunit ribosomal RNA
Source: RNAcentral
AUUGAACGCUGGCGGCAGGCCUAACACAUGCCAGUCGAGCGGAUGAAGGGAGCUUGCUUCUGGAUUCAGCGGCGGACGGGUGAGUAAUGCCUAGGAAUCUGCCUGGUAGUGGGGGAUAACGUCCGGAAACGGGCGCUAAUACCGCAUACGUCCUGAGGGAGAAAGAGGGGGAUCUUCGGACCUCACGCUAUCAGAUGAGCCUAGGUCGGAUUAGCGAGUUGGUGGGGUAAAGGCCUACCAAGGCGACGAUCCGUAACUGGUCUGAGAGGAUGAUCAGUCACACUGGAACUGAGACACGGUCCAGACUCCUACGGGAGGCAGCGGUGGGGAAUAUUGGACAUGGGGCGAAAGCCUGAUCCAGCCAUGCCGCGUGUUUGAAGAAGGUCUUCGGAUUGUAAAGCACUUUAAGUUGGGAGGAAGGGCAGUAAGUUAAUACCUUGCUGUUUUGACGUUACCAACAGAAUAAGCACCGGCUAACUUCGUG